GUUCCCGUAGUGAAAUGGUCAUCACAUAGUCCUUAUACUUUUAAAGUAUGUCAGUUUAUGAUUUAAUUCAUAAGUUCGGAGUUAAGACUGCAUCCCGGGAUCGAUACCCGGCGGGAAUA
This 119-nucleotide transfer RNA is filed under the name Bathycoccus sp. RCC1105 virus BpV1. RNAcentral describes it as "tRNA-Ile". The record is from RNAcentral. RNAcentral also lists the same sequence under 1 other name. Lineage: Varidnaviria; Bamfordvirae; Nucleocytoviricota; Megaviricetes; Algavirales; Phycodnaviridae.